Molecule: transfer RNA, 73 nt
Filed under: Catenuloplanes atrovinosus
Lineage: Bacteria; Bacillati; Actinomycetota; Actinomycetes; Micromonosporales; Micromonosporaceae
Description: tRNA-Val
Source: RNAcentral
GUUCCGAUAGCUCAGCAGGGAGAGCGCCGCCCCGACAAGGCGGAGGCCGCCGGUUCGACCCCGGCUCGGAACA